AAGGCUUAACUGCGGCACCUCAGUGCUCUCGUCCAUUAGCGAAAAACAGCGAACUAGUA
RNAcentral lists this ribosomal RNA (59 nucleotides) under Asparagus officinalis (garden asparagus). RNAcentral describes it as "partial small subunit ribosomal RNA". Lineage: Eukaryota; Viridiplantae; Streptophyta; Magnoliopsida; Asparagales; Asparagaceae. The record is from RNAcentral.